RNAcentral lists this ribosomal RNA (554 nucleotides) under Bifidobacterium adolescentis. RNAcentral describes it as "bacterial SSU rRNA". It matches the Rfam family "Bacterial small subunit ribosomal RNA", at positions 146 to 711 of the family's 1533-position model. The record is from RNAcentral. Lineage: Bacteria; Bacillati; Actinomycetota; Actinomycetes; Bifidobacteriales; Bifidobacteriaceae.
UCUCCUGGAAACGGGUGGUAAUGCCGGAUGCUCCAGUUGGACGCAUGUUCUUCUGGGAAAGAUUCUUCGGUAUGGGAUGGGGUCGCGUCCUAUCAGCUUGAUGGCGGGGUAACGGCCCACCAUGGCUUCGACGGGUAGCCGGCCUGAGAGGGCGACCGGCCACAUUGGGACUGAGAUACGGCCCAGACUCCUACGGGAGGCAGCAGUGGGGAAUAUUGCACAAUGGGCGCAAGCCUGAUGCAGCGACGCCGCGUGCGGGAUGACGGCCUUCGGGUUGUAAACCGCUUUUGACUGGGAGCAAGCCCUUCGGGGUGAGUGUACCUUUCGAAUAAGCACCGGCUAACUACGUGCCAGCAGCCGCGGUAAUACGUAGGGUGCAAGCGUUAUCCGGAAUUAUUGGGCGUAAAGGGCUCGUAGGCGGUUCGUCGCGUCCGGUGUGAAAGUCCAUCGCUUAACGGUGGAUCCGCGCCGGGUACGGGCGGGCUUGAGUGCGGUAGGGGAGACUGGAAUUCCCGGUGUAACGGUGGAAUGUGUAGAUAUCGGAAAGAACACCA